CUUACAUCCUUGUCACCCUGUUUACACCGGUGUGCACACGGUCUAUGUGGUUUCAAUAUGUCUAUGCACUACUAGGAGUUAGGAGGUACUGUUUCAUCGACUGCUGGUGAGAACACCAUGUUGUUAUGUCAACUACUCCACGAUUCCAACCGGGACAAUAAAUGACAACUACGUCUUCGUUCCCAACAUCUCUCACGUACUGAUGUUUUGAAUGGUGAUUAAAAUGACUAUAUUCCAUGCUUUCUCCGUGACUGUGAUGUUACUUCAAACCUGCCAGAGUGUGCUGUCACAAGAAACGCCAUAUCUGCCAUCAACAACAUCUGCUGACACGUCUACAACGACACAGGGGGAUUCACAGACGACGACAACAGCAACAACAACCGUCAUGGCAGCUGCAACUGAUGACUUCAUGAUGACAGCUUCAUGGACUGGCAACGAGGAUGCCCUACAGUCUACAACGUUAACGCAGGGUGUCUCUUCAUCUGCAACUACAUCUGUCACUGCAUCCCUUUCAACAACAUCUACGUCCACAAACCCAUCUACAUCUACACCCCCAAUUACACGAACAACUACAUACUCUACAGGCCUAGCUACAUUCCCAUCUAUGUCUGCAUCAACAGUUACAUUUACAUCCACAUCUUCAUCUGCACAUUACUCAGCUACUGCUACCUCCAUACACACAUCCCCAAUGCCAUCUGUAACUACAUAUGCUUCUACACCCUCAUCAGCAUCUAUAUCUGCAUAUCCGGCGCUAGCUAAAUCAACACCUACGUCUUCUACAUCUGGCCCAGAUGAUACGUCAACGACUUCUAUAUCUACAUCUGGCCCAGCAGAUACGUCAACGACUUCUAUAUCUACAUCUGGCCCAGCAGAUACGUCAACGACUUCUAUAUCUACAUCUGGUCCAGCAGAUACGUCAACGACUUCUAUAUCUACAUCUGGCCCAGCAGAUACGUCAACGACUUCUAUAUCUACAUCUGGCCCAGCAGAUACGUCAACGACUUCUACCACAGCCAACAAUGACGAGACGUCCAGGCUUAUUAUACCGGCUGUAUCCAGUGUAAGGUGUUAGCAAGGUACAGUGUGCUACGAUAUUCUUGCAGAGACGUCCAGGCUUAUUAUACCGGCUGUAUCCAGUGUAAGGUGUUAGCAAGGUACAGUGUGCUACGAUAUUCUUGCAGAGACGUCCAGGCUUAUUAUACCGGCUGUAUCCAGUGUAAGGUGUUAGCAAGGUACAGUGUGCUACGAUAUUCUUGCAGAGACGUCCAGGCUUAUUAUACCGGCUGUAUCCAGUGUAAGGUGUUAGCAAGGUACAGUGUGCUACGAUAUUCUUGCAGAGACGUCCAGGCUUAUUAUACCGGCUGUAUCCAGUGUAAGGUGUUAGCAAGAGACGUCCAGGCUUAUUAUACCGGCUGUAUCCAGUGCUGCUGCGGGUGUUGCCCUCCUGACCGUGGUCCUUGUGUCCGUGAUUUGUUACCGAAGAAGAUCACAGGAGAAACCCCUCGCCGAUGCAGAUGACAUCAGUUACCACAACUUCCGCGUCGGUCGAAUGGAGCUUCAGUCGGUCAGGAAAGACGACCCUUACCUGGACCUUGAUUCUGAUUUCACUAGCCAGGACGUU
RNAcentral lists this unclassified non-coding RNA (1621 nucleotides) under Haliotis rubra (blacklip abalone). Its description in RNAcentral is "cell wall protein DAN4-like, transcript variant X5". The record is from RNAcentral. Lineage: Eukaryota; Metazoa; Mollusca; Gastropoda; Lepetellida; Haliotidae.